GACCUGGUAGUGGACCAGUGUCAACAUGACUGAGAAGACACAUGACCUGGUAGUGGACCAGUGUCAACAUGACUGAGAAGACACAUGACCUGGUAGUAGACCAGUGUCAACAUGACUGAGAAGACACAUGACCUAGUAGUAGAUCAGUGUCAACCUGACUGAGAAGACACAUGACCUGGUAUGAAAGACAAAACAAAACAAGAUGGGAAAUAUUAUCGACAUUCCAUUACACUUUUCACUGGCUGUCCCUCAGGUUGUGGCAGGAGGACACAUUGUGGCUUUUCACCCAAUAAAUAUUUUUAUUUUUUCUUCAUUUUUUAUAGUUUCAAAUUCUUUGUAUUGAAUUAUAAUUUUGGGAAAAAAAUAUUCUCUUAGGUCUGAGUAUUUGUCACAGUGUAGUAGGAAAUGCAUCUCUGUCUCUACCUCUCCCCUGGAGCAGAGUGAGCACAGACUGUCCUCUCUGGGCAGCCAGGUUUGUCUGUGACGACCGGUCUCUAUAGCCAGACUGUCCUCUCUGGACAGCCAGGUUUGUCUGUGACGACCGGUCUCUAUAGCCAGACUGUCCUCUCUGGACAGCCAGGUUUGUCUGUGACGACCGGUCUCUAUAGCCAGACUGUCCUCUCUGGGCAGCUAGGUUUGUCUGUGACGACCGGUCUCUAUAGCCAGACUGUCCUCUCUGGGCAGCCAGGUUUGUCUGUGACGACCGGUCUCUAUAGCCAGACUGUCCUCUCUGGGCAGCCAGGUUUGUCUGUGACGACCGGUCUCUAUAGCCAGACUGUGCUCACUGAGUCUGUACCUAGUCAAUGUUUUCCUCAGUUUUCUAUCAGUCACAGUGGUCAGAUAGUCUGCCACCAUGUACUGUCUGUUUAGAGACAAAUAGCAUUGAAGUUUACUCAGAUUUUUUGUGGUGUCUUUCCAAAAGAUGAUUUAUUUUUGUUCUGGGCUCUUUGUUAUAUUGCUGUAGAGGGUUGUAAGCUGUUUUCUCCACAUAGCCAGUUCCUCCUGAUGAGGUUUGUUUCAUUUAUUCCAAUUCUCCCAGAAGUGGUUAGAUUCUAUGGAUUCCUGAAUUCUAUCCAGCUGAUUUUCUGCUCCGUUUUUUGUUCUUAAGUGUGUAUUGCUUAAGUGUGUAUUGCUUAAGUGUGUAUUGCUUAAGUGUGUAUUGCUUAAGUGUGUAUUGCUUAAGUGUGUAUUGCUUAAGUGUGUAUUGCUUAAGUGUGUAUUGCUUCAAUGUUUCUCCAUAUUGAAGGUGUAUAUUUAUGUUGUCUAGUUCUCUG
Long non-coding RNA from Oncorhynchus tshawytscha (Chinook salmon), 1274 nucleotides. Lineage: Eukaryota; Metazoa; Chordata; Actinopteri; Salmoniformes; Salmonidae. The record is from Ensembl.